UUGCUAGCUUUGAUAUACGGGCAAUUUCUGAAUGAAGAUAUAUGUGGAGUAGUGCUUAGUGUCGGUGAUGUGCAGGACAAAAUUUCCCUGUGGAUCGAUGCAGAAAAUGAGGAUCCUAAGGUGAGCGUUGGAAAACAGUGGAAGGGCAUUUUGGAUAGCAACGAAACUUUAGGGUUCAUAUUUGAUGAGGAUGCAAAGUUUGAAGAGAAGUGCCAAGAAUAAAUACAGUGUGAUCUGUAUAGUACUCUUUUCCAGUACCCAAUGUUUUCUGAACUCGAGCAUUGUAUGCUUUAGCUGCGAGAGUGACCAAGUUCUUGCUAAUUGUUCCCCUUCCCUCAUAUGGCGUAGUUAGACUUCCCUUUAAAUGAUAUAGCUGCUAGAGUGACCAAGUUCUUGCUAAUUGUUCCCCCUUCCCUCAUAUGGCUUAGUUAGACUUCCUUUUAAAUGAUAUAAAUGGAUGUAGAUGUUGUC
Long non-coding RNA from Rosa rugosa (rugosa rose), 471 nucleotides. RefSeq lists it as uncharacterized. The record is from RefSeq and is a predicted model, not a curated record. The transcript is spliced from 3 exons. Lineage: Eukaryota; Viridiplantae; Streptophyta; Magnoliopsida; Rosales; Rosaceae.